GACGAACGCUGGCGGCGUGCUUAAGACAUGCAAGUCGAACGGGGUCCAUCCUUCGGGAGAAGACCUAGUGGCGAACGGGUGAGUAACACGUGAGAAACCUGCCCCGAAGACAGGGAUAAGCGCGGGAAACUGCGUCUAAUACCUGAUGCCUUCUUUGCAACACAUGUUGCGUUGAAGAAAUGAUUUAUCGCUUCGGGAGGGUCUCGCGGCCUAUCAGCUUGUUGGUGGGGUAACGGCCUACCAAGGCGUCGACGGGUAGCUGGUCUGAGAGGAUGAUCAGCCACACUGGGACUGAGAUACGGCCCAGACUCCUACGGGAGGCAGCAGUUAGGAAUCUUGCGCAAUGGGCGAAAGCCUGACGCAGCAACGCCGCGUGAGGGAUGAAGGCUCUCGGGUUGUAAACCUCUUUCAGCAGGAACGAAAUUGACGGUACCUGCAGAAGAAGCUCCGGCCAACUACGUGCCAGCCGCCGCCGUAAUAC
This 481-nucleotide ribosomal RNA is filed under the name uncultured bacterium. Its description in RNAcentral is "bacterial SSU rRNA". It matches the Rfam family "Bacterial small subunit ribosomal RNA", at positions 28 to 526 of the family's 1533-position model. The record is from RNAcentral.